CACGUAGGGCGCAAGCGUUGUCCGGAAUUAUUGGGCGUAAAGAGCGUGUAGGCGGCCUGACAGGUCUGCUGUGAAAACUCGAGGCUCAACCUCGAGAUGUCGGCGGAAACCAUUUGGCUAGAGUCCGGAAGAGGAGAGUGGAAUUCCUGGUGUAGCGGUGAAAUGCGCAGAUAUCAGGAAAAACACCAAUGGCGAAAGCAGCUCUCUGGGACGGUACUGACGCUGAGACGCGAAAGCGUGGGGAGCGAACAGG
Molecule: ribosomal RNA, 253 nt
Filed under: uncultured bacterium
Lineage: Bacteria
Description: partial 16S ribosomal RNA
Rfam family: Bacterial small subunit ribosomal RNA
Source: RNAcentral